This 372-nucleotide RNase P RNA is filed under the name Elusimicrobiota bacterium. Its description in RNAcentral is "Elusimicrobia bacterium (hot springs metagenome) RNase P RNA component class A". It matches the Rfam family "Bacterial RNase P class A". Rfam says of the family: Ribonuclease P (RNase P) is a ubiquitous endoribonuclease, found in archaea, bacteria and eukarya as well as chloroplasts and mitochondria. Its best characterised activity is the generation of mature 5'-ends of tRNAs by cleaving the 5'-leader elements of precursor-tRNAs. Lineage: Bacteria; Pseudomonadati; Elusimicrobiota. The record is from RNAcentral.
GCCGGCAGAUGCGCAGUCGCCGAAGACUUAAGAUCUUUGGAGGAACUUCCGGACUCCGCGGGAAUUACGCCUGCUGUAAAAGCAGGAUGGUUUAAGGGAAACCUUAAAUCAAUUGAUAGCGCAACAGAAAAUAUACCGCCCCGACGAUACGUCGGGGUAAGGGUGAAAAGGCGCGGUAAGAGCGCACCGCAUUGAUAGCGAUGUCAAUGCUGGCAAGCCACGUAAGGAGCAAGGACAAAUAUGCCUUAGGUCGCCCGCCCCGCUUCUCCCGAAGACGCUUCGGGAAGCAAGGCAGAGUAGUCCGCAUAGAUAAAUGAUUGCGAUAAUAGCAUUCGCUAUUAACAGAAUCCGGGGUAUAAUCUGCCGGCUUAU